Long non-coding RNA from Cygnus atratus (black swan), 144 nucleotides. RefSeq lists it as uncharacterized. Lineage: Eukaryota; Metazoa; Chordata; Aves; Anseriformes; Anatidae. The record is from RefSeq and is a predicted model, not a curated record. The transcript is spliced from 3 exons.
AAGACAGUGAAGAUGAAAAGAUUUUCAGCUUUAUAUUUCUUGAUAAGUGUCCUCUUUCUGUGUCUGCAAUUGCAAGCUUAGUGUUGUUAUCACAAUUCAGAAAUUCUCCAGGAAAACAUAAAUGACAACAAACUGGGAAUAGCA